UCCAACGUCGUCUAGUGGUUUAGGAUUUUGCAUUUUCAUAGAGCAUGAAGAUCUGCAAGGGCCAGGGUUCGAACCCCUGCGUUGGAG
Molecule: non-coding RNA, 87 nt
Organism: Xylariales sp. PMI_506
Lineage: Eukaryota; Fungi; Ascomycota; Sordariomycetes; Xylariales
Source: the annotation of a GenBank genome assembly